Molecule: long non-coding RNA, 1213 nt
Organism: Pantherophis guttatus
Lineage: Eukaryota; Metazoa; Chordata; Lepidosauria; Squamata; Colubridae
Source: RefSeq, a predicted model, not a curated record
AGAUCUUGGAUAGGUUACAUGAAUCAUUCAGUCCUAUAGAAUGUGUACACUGCUAGUUUAUACAUCUGUAAAAAAUGAUAACCUAUAUAACCUUGGGGUUAUGAAUAUACCUCCAGUAGCAUGAACGGUUUAUAUGUGGUGAUAAAAAUGGAUGAGAUGAUGGUAUUGUAUAUUUAAAGUACUGAGAAUACACUUAUUUUACCAUCCACUUCCAUCAAAGUAAGAAAAAAAAAAAACCCUUGAAAAACAUUGUUUCAAAUGAUAAAACAGAUGAGACAACAAAUGGAUUUUUUUUUAAAAAAAUCUACUCUUUCAAAGUGGUUAAUGCAAAAAAAAAAAAGACUGCUACUUCCAUCCUUGCCUUUUUCAUGUGUACAUCAUGUAAUCAGUAUUAGAAAUCCAUCCCUUAAUAGAGUGUUUAAAAGUUGAAUGACAUAUGGAAGAAUUGGUACUUGAAUAUAAUACUGUAUAACAAGUGAAAUGAUUUAAUAUAUUUUUUUCUGUUAAAACUCAUGCACAAUUCUUUUAAGUUUCUAUUGUUGCCAUGUUAUGGUAGAAAGCAGGACCCUAUUUGCAUUGACUGAAGGCAGGCUAUAGGCAACACUAUCACAUGUGCACCUUGAAACAAGCUUAGGCAAGGCAAUUAUGAGAAGAAGCUGCCAAGGAAGAAGACAAGGGUUGUUUCUAUGAAAGGAAUAUUGACAGUGUGAUAAAGAAAAAAAUGAAUCCAGCACUGAAGAACAAAGCAAUUGGCAGCAGGCCAUAUCGCAUAAUGUUCUACUGCCAUGAAAAGAAUAUUGCUGUCCCUGUCAAAGUGAACUAAUUAAUUGUUACAACAUGACAGACGAAUGUGAACAGUCAGAGAUAUUGUCCAGAACUGAAGAGCUUGUAUGAGCAGUGAAGCUGAUCCAAGGGACAGUAAAGGCCCCAGCUGAUUUGAUACAUUCUGUCUGGUCCUGAAUGCUAGAUAAGAUAGCAACAAUCACAUCUCCCAAGCUGAUUUCAAUGAUGACCUCAUCAAAAAUAUUCACCUUGUAUUUUAUCACCUAUGAAGAACAUCUGAGUAGCUCCAGAUUAUUAUAUAAAGGCAACUGAACUGUCUAUUCAAUAAAUUCAUGCCACACCCACUGGUCAGUGCAAAACGAUAUCAAGUUACAGGAGCCCUGGCUCAAGAACCCCAGUAUUAUAAAAUAAAUAAAUUCUUUUAAUGCUG